GACGAACGCUGGCGGCGUGCUUAACACAUGCAAGUCGAACGGAAAGGCCCUGCUUUUGUGGGGUGCUCGAGUGGCGAACGGGUGAGUAACACGUGAGUAACCUGCCCUUGACUUUGGGAUAACUUCAGGAAACUGGGGCUAAUACCGGAUAGGAGCUCCUGCUGCAUGGUGGGGGUUGGAAAGUUUCGGCGGUUGGGGAUGGACUCGCGGCUUAUCAGCUUGUUGGUGGGGUAGUGGCUUACCAAGGCUUUGACGGGUAGCCGGCCUGAGAGGGUGACCGGCCAAAUUGGGACUGAGAUUAGGCCCAGACUCCUACGGGAGGCAGCAGGGGGGAAUAUUGCACAAUGGGCGGAAGCCUGAUGCAGGAACGCCGCGUGGGGGAUGACGGCCUUCGGGUUGGAAACCGCCUUCGCCUGUGACGAAGCGUGAGUGACGGUAAUGGGUAAAGAAGCACCGGCUAACUACGUG
This 468-nucleotide ribosomal RNA is filed under the name uncultured bacterium. RNAcentral describes it as "partial 16S ribosomal RNA". It matches the Rfam family "Bacterial small subunit ribosomal RNA", at positions 28 to 507 of the family's 1533-position model. The record is from RNAcentral.